AGGCUUAUCUAGCUCAGCUGGUAGAGCAUUCGGCUUUUAACCUAAGGGUCGCAGGUUCACAUCUUUCUAGACCCA
This 75-nucleotide transfer RNA is filed under the name Coptis deltoidea. RNAcentral's name for it is "tRNA-Lys". The record is from RNAcentral. Lineage: Eukaryota; Viridiplantae; Streptophyta; Magnoliopsida; Ranunculales; Ranunculaceae.